RNAcentral lists this ribosomal RNA (200 nucleotides) under uncultured archaeon. RNAcentral's name for it is "partial 16S ribosomal RNA". It matches the Rfam family "Archaeal small subunit ribosomal RNA", at positions 543 to 743 of the family's 1478-position model. The record is from RNAcentral.
CGGGAAAUCCACCGCCUAACGAGUGGGCGUCCGGCGGAAACUACAGGGCUUGGGACCGGAAGACUUGAGGGGUACGUCUGGGGUAGGAGUGAAAUCCUGUAAUCCUGGACGGACCGCCGAUAGCGAAAGCACCUCAAGACGACGGAUCCGACAGUGAGGGACGAAAGCUAGGGUCUCGAACCGGAUUAGAUACCCGGGUA